ACCUACGGGGGGCAGCAGUAGGGAAUUUUCGUCAAUGGGCGCAAGCCUGAACGAGCAAUGCCGCGUGAACGAGGAAGGUCUUCGGAUCGUAAAGUUCUGUUGAAGGGGAAAAAGAGCGGAGAGAGGGAAUGGUCUCCGAUUGAUAUUACCCUUCGAGGAAGUCACGGCUAACUACGUGCCAGCAGCCGCGGUAAUACGUAGGUGGCGAGCGUUAUCCGGAAUGAUUGGGCGUAAAGGGUGCGUAGGCGGCCUGCUAAGUCUGGAGUGAAAGGUACCGGCUCAACCGGUACAGGCUCUGGAAACUG
RNAcentral lists this ribosomal RNA (305 nucleotides) under uncultured bacterium. Its description in RNAcentral is "bacterial SSU rRNA". It matches the Rfam family "Bacterial small subunit ribosomal RNA", at positions 337 to 635 of the family's 1533-position model. The record is from RNAcentral.